RNAcentral lists this ribosomal RNA (346 nucleotides) under uncultured bacterium. RNAcentral's name for it is "partial 16S ribosomal RNA". It matches the Rfam family "Bacterial small subunit ribosomal RNA", at positions 338 to 700 of the family's 1533-position model. The record is from RNAcentral.
CCUACGGGUGGCAGCAGUGGGGAAUAUUGCACAAUGGGGGAAACCCUGAUGCAGCAACGCCGCGUGAGUGAAGAAGGUUUUCGGAGUGUAAAGCUCUGUUAGCAGGGAAGAGGAAGGACGGAACCUGCAGAGGAAGCCACGGCUAACUACGUGCCAGCAGCCGCGGUAAAACGUAGGUGGCAAGCGUUGUUCGGAAUAACUGGGCGUAAAGGAUGCGGAGGCGGUUCAACAAGUGAUAGGUUAAAUAUAUAGGCUUAACCUGUAGAAAGCAUAUAAAACUGUUUAACUAGAGUGCAGGAGAGGUCAGUGGACUUCCUCGUGUAGCUGUCAAAUGCGUAGAGAUUAG